GAUGAACGCUGGCGGCAUGCCUAACACAUGCAAGUCGAACGGCCGGACGGUAAGCUUUUUUCUCUGCUGUUGGCGGCUGGCGGGCGGGUAACGCGUGCAUCACCUUCUUCUUUUUCUUGGUUAAUUUCGUAAAACCAGUUCUACUAACACCGCAUAUUUUCAACCGCUUGAUUCAAAGGUUCAUCAGGCCUUUCGCGACUGUAUUAGCCGGUUUCGGGUUGCAUUGGCUAGUUGGUAAGGUAACAGCCUACCAAGGCGACGAUGCGUAGCCGACCUGAGAGGGUGAUCGGCCACACUGGAACUGAGACACGGUCCAGACUCCUACGGGAGGCAGCAGUAGGGAAUAUUGCGCAAUGGGCGAAAGCCUGACGGAGCAACGCCGCGUGGGUGAAGAAGGUCUUCGGGUCGUAAAGCUCCGUUAUUGGGAAAGAACAGAUGUAGGAGUAAACGUGGACAUUUUGACGGUACCUAAUGAAAAAGCAACGGCUAACUACGUG
RNAcentral lists this ribosomal RNA (497 nucleotides) under uncultured bacterium. RNAcentral's name for it is "partial 16S ribosomal RNA". It matches the Rfam family "Bacterial small subunit ribosomal RNA", at positions 28 to 507 of the family's 1533-position model. The record is from RNAcentral.